GACGAACGCUGGCGGCGUGCUUAACACAUGCAAGUCGAACGGGGAAGCCCCAGCUUGCUGGAGAGGAUCAGUGGCGAAGGGGGGAGUAACACGUGAGCACCGUGUCCCUGCCCCUGGGAUAAGCGAUGGAAACGGCGUCUCAUACUGGAUACGAGAAGGGUCCGCAUGGGCACUUUCUGGAAAGUUAGUCGGUUGGGGAUGGGCUAGCGCCCUAUCAGCUUGUUGGUUAGGUAGUGGGCAAGCAAGGCCAGGAAGGGUAGCAGGCCUGGGAGGGCGAGCGGCCACACUGGGACUGAGACGCGGCCCAGACCCCUACGCGACGCAGCGGUGGGGAAGAGUGCACUAGGGGAGAAACCCUGGUGCAGCGACGCCGCGUGGGGGAUGAGGUCCUUCGGUUUGUAUUCCUCUUUCAGCAUGGAAGAAGCGAAAGUGACGGUACCUGCAGAAGAAGCACCGGCUAACUACGUG
RNAcentral lists this ribosomal RNA (468 nucleotides) under uncultured bacterium. RNAcentral's name for it is "partial 16S ribosomal RNA". It matches the Rfam family "Bacterial small subunit ribosomal RNA", at positions 28 to 507 of the family's 1533-position model. The record is from RNAcentral.